This 576-nucleotide ribosomal RNA is filed under the name Triticum aestivum (bread wheat). RNAcentral's name for it is "partial small subunit ribosomal RNA". The record is from RNAcentral. Lineage: Eukaryota; Viridiplantae; Streptophyta; Magnoliopsida; Poales; Poaceae.
AUGAAUGGUGAAAGGAAAGUACAUUGGAUUUCUUGGGACAAGAUGUGUACUGCUAAGAGGGAUGGAGGUUUGGGUUUUCGAGACCCAAAAGCUUUCAAUCAAGCGCUUCUAGCAAAGCAGGCUUGGAGAAUCUUAACUAGUACAACCUCUCUUUUCUCUAGAGUGCUCAAAGCUCGUUAUUUCAAGGAUGACUCAAUUAUGUUGGCUACUUGCCCUUCAAAUGUGUCUUUCACUUUUAGAAGUAUUUUACAUGGUCCAGAUCUUCUACGAGAAGGGUUAGUCUGGAGGAUUGGAGAUGGUUCCCGUGUCAACAUUCAUCAUGAUAAUUGGAUACCUAGAAGUGGUUCUCUUCGGCCACUGGGCCAGGAGUUCUUACUCGGUGUAACAAAGGUAGCAGAUCUGCUAACUCUUGAAGGAAAUGCAUGGGACUGGGAGAAGGUUGAUAAUAUGUUUACGGCCUCUGAUGCGUCUGACAUUAACCAAAUUGUUGUUGGUGGAUGGGGAACUGAAGAUUUUUUGGCAUGGAAUUACACCAAAAAUGGGAUUUUUACUGCCAGCUCAGCAUAUCAUCUUUGA